This is a long non-coding RNA of Nelumbo nucifera (sacred lotus), 810 nucleotides long. RefSeq lists it as uncharacterized. The record is from RefSeq and is a predicted model, not a curated record. Lineage: Eukaryota; Viridiplantae; Streptophyta; Magnoliopsida; Proteales; Nelumbonaceae.
UAGACGCCAAAAGUUAUGAAAAACAAUUGGGUAAAGCCAAAUAUCCUCUCCACUGCGAGUUUCUCCCUUUCCCUCCCUCCUAUUCUCUUCUCCUCCCUAGUGCGAGCUGCUCUCUUUCCACUGCCAUCUUGCCGUAAAAACCCUGCAACCAUCUACUGUCUUCCCGUUGAAACUUGUCAACUGAGCUGGGUUUCAAAGAAAAAGACGACGACCCUGUGACCCGAUCCCCACCGCCGCUGCCAUCUUGCCGUUGAAACCCUGCAACUGAGUCGCAUGCCAUAGUUAAAGACGACCCUGCAACCAAGCUCCACCGCCACUGCCAUCUUGCCGUUGAAACCCUGCAACCGAGCCGCAUGCCGUAGUUAAAGACGACCCUGCAAUCUGAGCUCCAUCGCCGCUGCCAAUCUUUCCGUUGAGCUGCAACUGAGCAUGUUCCCAUAGUGAAACACAACCCUGCAACCAUCAACCACUUCAGGAAGAUCCUGGUUGUUUCUUAUUCAAAUGGUGUGAUCAACAUCUUAAAGAAGUACCAAAAGCUGAGAAUUCAUGAAUACUACAAGAUGACGGUCCAACAGUAGAUUUGCUCCGAAGGGAUUUAUUAAAUGAAAUAAUAAUGGAGCAGUCACUUUUUAAAUAUGAGAUACAGUUGGAAUUGGUCAAUAUUAGAAACGUUCUAACCAUGCAUUUAGUGGCAUUAGUUGUUUUAUUAGUUUUAAUUAUUAUGUUGCUCUUUUGUUGGUAGAGAGUUGGGUAUAUUUUAUACUAAGUUUUAUAUUUUGACUUACAAAGUGGACAUAUUUCGAUUAAUUA